RNAcentral lists this ribosomal RNA (278 nucleotides) under uncultured Bacteroidales bacterium. RNAcentral describes it as "partial 16S ribosomal RNA". It matches the Rfam family "Bacterial small subunit ribosomal RNA", at positions 511 to 788 of the family's 1533-position model. Lineage: Bacteria; Pseudomonadati; Bacteroidota; Bacteroidia; Bacteroidales. The record is from RNAcentral.
GCAGCCGCGGUAAUACGUAGGGGGCAAGCGUUAUCCGGAUUUACUGGGUGUAAAGGGAGUGUAGGCGGUCUGGCAAGUCUGAUGUGAAACUCCGGGGCUCAACCCCGGAACUGCAUUGGAAACUGUCAGACUAGAGUGCAGGAGAGGAAAGUGGAAUUCCUAGUGUAGCGGUGAAAUGCGUAGAUAUUAGGAAGAACACCAGUGGCGAAGGCGGCUUUCUGGACUGUAACUGACGCUGAGGCUCGAAAGCGUGGGGAGCAAACAGGAUUAGAUACCCC